Molecule: ribosomal RNA, 457 nt
Filed under: uncultured cyanobacterium
Lineage: Bacteria; Bacillati; Cyanobacteriota
Description: bacterial SSU rRNA
Rfam family: Bacterial small subunit ribosomal RNA
Source: RNAcentral
GAUGAACGCUGGCGGUAUGCUUAACACAUGCAAGUCGAACGGACUCUUCGGAGUUAGUGGCGGACGGGUGAGUAACGCGUGAGAAUCUGCCUUCAGGUCGGGGAUAACAGUUGGAAACGACUGCUAAUACCGGAUGUGCAGCAAUGUGAAAGAUUUAUUGCCUGAAGAUGAGCUCGCGUCUGAUUAGCUAGUAGGUGUGGUAAUGGCGCACCUAGGCGACGAUCAGUAACUGGUCUGAGAGGAUGACCAGUCACACUGGGACUGAGACACGGCCCAGACUCCUACGGGAGGCAGCAGUGGGGAAUUUUCCGCAAUGGGCGAAAGCCUGACGGAGCAAUACCGCGUGAGGGGACGACGGCUUCUGGGGUUUGUAAACCCUCUUUUUCUCUGGGGAAGAAGAUCUGACGGUACCAGAGGAAUCAGCAUCGGCUAACUUCGUGCCAGCAGCCGCGGUAAU